AACGAACGCUGGCGGCAUGCCUAACACAUGCAAGUCGAACGACACCUUCGGCUUUGGCGUCGCACGGGUGCGUAAAGCGUUGGAACCUGCCCCUAGACUCGGCAUAACUCCCCGAAAGGGCUGCUAAAACCGGAUAAUGUCCUCCAACCAAAGAUUUAUCGCCUUUGGAUGGGCCCGCGUUGGAUUGGCUAGUUGGUAGGGUAACAGCCUACCAAGGCGACGAUCCAUAGCUGGUCUGAGAGGAUGAGCAGCCACACUGGGACUGAGACACGGCCCAGACUCCUACGGGAGGCAGCAGUGGGGAAUAUUGGAAAACGGGCGAAAGCCUGAUCCAGCAAUGCCGCGUGAGUGAUGAAGGCCUUAGGGUUGUAAAGCUCGUUUACCCGGGAUGAUAAUGACAGUACCGGGAGAAUAAGCUCCGGCUAACUCCGUG
Molecule: ribosomal RNA, 433 nt
Filed under: uncultured bacterium
Lineage: Bacteria
Description: partial 16S ribosomal RNA
Rfam family: Bacterial small subunit ribosomal RNA
Source: RNAcentral